AUUAGGAAUCUUGCGCAAUGGGCGAAAGCCUGACGCAGCGACGCCGCGUGGAGGAGGAAGGCCUUCGGGUUGUAAACUCCUUUUUCGUAGGAAGAAACAAAUGACGGUACUACGGGAAUAAGCCCCGGCUAACUCCGUGCCAGCAGCCGCGGUAAUACGGAGGGGGCGAGCGUUGUCCGAAGUUACUGGGCGUAAAGCGCGUGUAGGCGGGUUGCCAAGUCCGCUGUGAAAGCCCGAGGCUCAACCUCGGAGGGUCGGUGGAUACUGGCAGUCUUGAAGUGGCUAGGGGGAGAUGGAAUUACCGGUGUAGCGGUGAAAUGCGUAGAGAUCGGUAGGAACACCAGUGGCGAAGGCGGUCUCCUGGGGCUCACUUGACGCUGAGACGCGAAAGCUGGGGGAGCGAACGG
RNAcentral lists this ribosomal RNA (407 nucleotides) under uncultured bacterium. RNAcentral's name for it is "bacterial SSU rRNA". It matches the Rfam family "Bacterial small subunit ribosomal RNA", at positions 354 to 775 of the family's 1533-position model. The record is from RNAcentral.